This 404-nucleotide ribosomal RNA is filed under the name uncultured bacterium. Its description in RNAcentral is "bacterial SSU rRNA". It matches the Rfam family "Bacterial small subunit ribosomal RNA", at positions 335 to 729 of the family's 1533-position model. The record is from RNAcentral.
ACUCCGUACGGGAGGCAGCAGUAGGGAAUCUUCCACAAUGGGCGCAAGCCUGAUGGAGCAACACCGCGUGAGUGAAGAAGGGUUUCGGCUCGUAAAGCUCUGUUGUUAAAGAAGAACACGUAUGAGAGUAACUGUUCAUACGUUGACGGUAUUUAACCAGAAAGUCACGGCUAACUACGUGCCAGCAGCCGCGGUAAUACGGAGGGGUGCGAGCGUUAAUCGGAAUUACUGGGCGUAAAGCGCAUGCAGGCGGCCUGUUAAGUCAGAUGUGAAAGCCCGGGGGCUUAACCUCGGAAUUGCAUUUGAAACUGGCAGGCUAGAGUCUUGUAGAGGGGGUAGGAAUUUCAGGUGUAGCGGUGAAAUGCGUAGAGAUCUGAAGGAUACCAGUGGCGAAGGCGGCCCCC